This 204-nucleotide ribosomal RNA is filed under the name uncultured bacterium. RNAcentral describes it as "partial 16S ribosomal RNA". It matches the Rfam family "Bacterial small subunit ribosomal RNA", at positions 933 to 1128 of the family's 1533-position model. The record is from RNAcentral.
CCACCCACGGAGUAGUGUGUUUUAUUUGAAGCCACGCGAAGAACCUUACCAGGUCGUGUCCUCCUACAGAGUCAGUAAAAGAGAAUUAGGUGCCCUUUGGGGAACACUGAGACAGGUGGUGCAUGGUUGUCGUCAGCUCGUGUCGUGAGAUGUUGGGUUAAGUCCCGCAACGAGCGCAACCCUUAUCAUUAGUGCUACGCAAGA